AUCACUUCUCUGCCUUUAGGCUAAGAUCAUGUAUCUUUUUAUCAUUUUAAAAUAUGAAAAAUCCUCUAUCUGAGGACUAUAUAUUAAAUGGGUUUUGGAGCUGGAGGUGGAUAGGAGCUUGCUCUAUCACUGUGUGCAUUGACCUGGUAUUGUAAUGCUUCCAGGAUCUGUGCACUCCCG
This is a small nuclear RNA of Fukomys damarensis (Damara mole-rat), 180 nucleotides long. Its record names the gene U2. It matches the Rfam family "U2 spliceosomal RNA". Rfam says of the family: U2 is a small nuclear RNA (snRNA) component of the spliceosome (involved in pre-mRNA splicing). The record is from Ensembl. Lineage: Eukaryota; Metazoa; Chordata; Mammalia; Rodentia; Bathyergidae.